ACCCGCUGAACUUAAGCAUAUCAAUAAGCGGAGGAAAAGAAACCAACAGGGAUUGCCCCAGUAACGGCGAGUGAAGCGGCAACAGCUCAAAUUUGAAAUCUGGCUUCGGCCCGAGUUGUAAUUUGCAGAGGAUGUUUAUGGUGCGGUACCUUCCGAGUUCCCUGGAACGGGACGCCACAGAGGGUGAGAGCCCCGUCUGGUUGGAUACCAAACCUGUGUUAAACUCCUUCAACGAGUCGAGUAGUUUGGGAAUGCUGCUCUAAAUGGGAGGUAAAUCUCUUCUAAAGCUAAAUAUUGGCCAGAGACCGAUAGCGCACAAGUAGAGUGAUCGAAAGAUGAAAAGCACCUUGAAAAGGGGGUUAAACAGUACGUGAAAUUGUUAAAAGGGAAGCGUUUAUGACCAGACUUGUGUCGUGUGGCUCAUCCGAGGUUCUCCCCGGUGCACUCCACACGGCUCAGGCCAACAUCGGUUCUCGUUGGGGGAUAAGAACAGCAGGAACGUGGCCCUCUUCGGAGGGUGUUAUAGCCUGCUGUACGAUACCCUGAUGGGGACCGAGGACCGCGCUUCGGCUAGGAUGUUGGCGUAAUGGUCAUUAGCGCCCGUCUUGAAACACGGACCAAGGAGUCGUCCAUUAGAGCGAGCGUUUGGGUGUAAAACCCGCACGCGUAAUGAAAGUGAAAUUAGGUGAGAGCUUCGGCGCAUCAUCGACCGAUCCUGAAGUUUACGGAUGGAUUUGAGUAAGAGUUUUAACGGACGGACCCGAAAGACAGUGAACUAUGCUUGAAUAGGGUGAAGCCAGAGGAAACUCUGGUGGAGGCUCGCAGCGGUUCUGACGUGCAAAUCGAUCGUCAAAUUUGAGCAUGGGGGCGAAAGACUAAUCGAACUGUCUAGUAGCUGGUUACCGCCGAAGUUUCCCUCAGGA
Molecule: ribosomal RNA, 923 nt
Filed under: Gnomoniopsis comari
Lineage: Eukaryota; Fungi; Ascomycota; Sordariomycetes; Diaporthales; Gnomoniaceae
Description: eukaryotic LSU rRNA
Rfam family: Eukaryotic large subunit ribosomal RNA
Source: RNAcentral